RNAcentral lists this ribosomal RNA (405 nucleotides) under uncultured bacterium. Its description in RNAcentral is "bacterial SSU rRNA". It matches the Rfam family "Bacterial small subunit ribosomal RNA", at positions 356 to 773 of the family's 1533-position model. The record is from RNAcentral.
GGGGAAUAUUGCACAAUGGGCGCAAGCCUGAUGCAGCAACGCCGCGUGAGGGAUGAAGGCCUUCGGGUUGUAAACCUCUUUUAGUAGGGAAGAAGCGAAAGUGACGGUACCUGCAGAAAAAGCGCCGGCUAACUACGUGCCAGCAGCCGCGGUAAUACGUAGGGUGCAAGCGUUGUCCGGAAUUAUUGGGCGUAAAGAGCUCGUAGGCGGCUUGUCGCGUCUGCUGUGAAAUCCCGGGGCUCAACCCCGGGCCUGCAGUGGGUACGGGCAAGCUAGAGUGCGGUAGGGGAGAUUGGAAUUCCUGGUGUAGCGGUGGAAUGCGCAGAUAUCAGGAGGAACACCGAUGGCGAAGGCAGAUCUCUGGGCCGCUACUGACGCUGAGGAGCGAAAGCAUGGGGAGCGAAC